UUUUUUUUUUUUUUUUUUUUUGUCUUUUUGCUAUUUCUUUGGGCCACUCCAGCGGCAUAUGGAGGUUCCCAGGCUAGGGGUCGAAUCGGAGCUGUAGCCACUAGCCUACGCCAGAGCCACAGCAACUCGGGAUCCGAGCCGCAUCUGCAACCUACACCACAGCUCACGGCAACGCCGGAUCGUUAACCCACUGAGCAAGGACAGGGACCGAACCCGCAACCUCAUGGUUCCUAGUCGGAUUCGUUAACCACUGCGCCACGACGGGAACUCCCAUUUCUCCUUCUUUGUCACUUGUUUGUACGUGCUCCUGAGCUUGUGGAAUAGUGUUUUACGCAGAUAAUCAAUCACCUGUACAACUAACCAGUUCAACAACAAAUGGGAACUUAAGAUCUGAUAUCCCACAAGAAUAGUUUUUUUUUGGGCCAUGCCCAUGGCAUGCAGAAGUUCCUGGGCCAGGGAUGGAACCCAUGCCACAGAAGUAACAAUGUCAGAUCCUUAAGCUGCUGAGCCACCAGGGAACUCCCAUGAGAAUAUUUUUAAAGGCUUGGAUCUUGUUUUGGACAUUGUUUCCUUAUUCCUUUAGCUAACACCCUUCUUAAAAGCAAUUCUGAAAUUUCUGAGAAAGUAGAUUAAAUCUUGGGGACAAUGACAAAUGUCUCUGGGCGAGGUGUUAAUAUGUUAGAAAAAUAAAUGAAGAUAAUCUUCCCCAUAGUGUAAAAUACCUCAUCAGCAGAUAAGACUGAGGAAUCAAUAAAGGUGUUUUACCAAAUAGUAACUCGCAGAAGGUUAAAAUGUUAAGCCACCUUAAUUUUAGAAAAUUUUCUAAUUAGCAUAUGUACAAAAAUUUUUAACCUAAGGUUAGAAAGCUGACUUACUACUGAUUUUUAAUAUUGACAACAUAAAAUAAAAGCAACAUAGAAUAAAAAUUGAUUACCUAAUCAAGUAGCAACAGAAGAGUAAACUAAGGAUGAAGACAAAUAUAGCAGUGCCAAAAACCACAAUAUAUAUGUUGAGUGGUAGAUUCUGGAAUCCAAUAUUAGGCAUCCUGAAGUUGUAAUGUGGGAAAUCUGAGCUCAUGGAUGAACUGUGGGGAAAGAAAAGAAUGGGAAAAAAUUAGAUUAUAAAGACUAAGAACCAAUAUAGCAUUAUCUCCAUACACGUAUAGAGGCAAUUUAUUUUCUUAAGGCUUAACCCCAUUUGAAUCAAAUUUGAUAGAGGGUUAAUAUCCUUGCCAUUAAUUAAUUACAGCACAAAUAUUUAAUGAGUACUUACUAGGUACGUGGCACUAUUCCAGAUGCUUGAGAUCCUACCUAAAAAGUUUUACAAAAAGAUAUUCAGAGAGGAGUUCCCAUCGUGGCGCAUGGGUUAAGGAUUUGGCACUGUCACUGCAGCAGCUUGGGUUGCUUCUGUGGCUCAGGUUUGAUUCCUGGCUCCUGACCUUCCACAUGGGUGUGGCCAAAACCCCCACAAAACCCUUUAUUAAAUCAGGCUCUGUUCUAAGCAUUUUACUGGCUUUAUUUUAAUUUUCACAUAAAACUUCUAUAGGUAGGUAUCAUAACAUCUCCAUUUUAUAUAUAAGGGAACCAAAGCUUAGAGUUUUGGUCACAUAGCCAUAACUGACCAAGUAUGUAUGAAAGUCAAGGCCUCUCCAACUCCAAAGCCAGUGCCCUCAGCCUAUAAGCUCUAUAAUCUUUACAAUUAGAAAAUACUAAAAAAGGGCCUAUUUCUGUCGAUAAGUUUGGUAAUACUGAUCACUACAUAGUUAAAAUACCAUGAAUGGAGUCUGUCCCUUUUUUUAGGUGAUGAGCUAUAAAGUGGCUCAUCACACCUUCAUGCUAGGAUUUUGUCAUUUUGAUUCAUUACAAAAUAAAGAGCAACUGCCAGGCUUGAUUAUGAAGACCACAUAAUGGUAAUUGAAUUAUCCAUGAUGACUGCCAAAAUAAAAACAGAACUAAAUAAAACCCCACCAAACAAAAUGCUUCUGCUUUUAUUUAUACAAGGUACAUUAAAAAUGUGUUUGUAGAUCUUUGGUGUCCUUGUUGGUUCCGAGAAGAGCAUAUUUAUGUAGACAACAUUGAGAUACUGACUGGCUGUAUCGGAAACCUCAGUGUUAUCAUUACUUUAAUUUCCAACUUCUAAUAACUUAUUUCAGGAAGCAACACUUGAAAAGAACUACUUCAUCCCAUGGAAACUCCUCUCUGAGAACUUUCAAACAAAAAUAACAGACAAUAUUUAGUUUUGAACAUUUAGCCACUUUCUGCAGGUGCUUUUAUUCAAAUAUAUAAUUUCCUUUUUCUUACAUUUAGAUCUUCUUGAAAGAGAAGGAAGGAGUUAAGGAGUACUUUACUAAACAUAUCUAGCACAUAUACCGUAGAGCUAUAAGGAAAUACAGCUGCACAAAACUUAACUCUUCUACACUGCUGACAGGGCUUCAUUUGAUGACUCCUGCAAGAGUCAAGACUUAGAUGACUAUCCUUCAAAUAUACAUACAAAAUUUGGCCACGCCAGCAGCAUGUGGAAAUUCCCGGGCCAGGGAUGGAACCUGAACCAUAGCAGCAACCCGAGCCACAGCAGGGACAACACUGGAUCCUUAACCCACUGCACCACAAGGGAAUUCUUAUCCUUCAAUUCCUUAGUUAUACCCUUCACCAGACAAACUGGGCUUGGUAAAAAUAAUUCUCAUCUUAGGAAAUAGGAGAUUAAAGGUAUAUGCUAGGUGGGCUAAUAGAGAAGAAACAGGCAAACAGAUGGAAACUUGUAUAGUGGAAAAAGGGACAGGUUUGUAGUCAGCAACUCUAGACGUUAUUCCCAGGAUGUCACUAGCUAGUCAGUACUUGGUCCAUCUAUGCUUCAAUUUUCUCAUCUUUUAAAUGGGACAAUGUCUAUCCUAUCAACUUCAAGGAUUCCUGGAAGGAUAAAAGGAGACCAUUUUAGUGUUUGAAAACUCUGAGUUAGGACAAAAUACUAAGGCUCUAAUAUGUGUGUGUAUAAGUGUGUGUGUGUGUGUGUGUGCGCAUAUGUGUGUGUACACUUUGGUGGGGGGAGUAGGGGAGAGGAAUGAUAUUAAAUAAAAGUAGUAAAUAAUGCAAAAGAAGUCCUAGAAAAGAUCAAGUCUCUACAGAGGAUUCUAACCAAACCAACUCCUCCUUCCUCAGAGAGCUUCUCUGCACACACUGCCAAGCUUUGUGUCAAGCGUCCUGCCAACCUGGCCACUAGAGACAGAAACUGGAAACCUAUCCGGGCCAAAGGUAACCAUCAAUAUAGGCCAGCUGGGAGUGAUCUGGUAGUGUGAGAA
This 3295-nucleotide long non-coding RNA is filed under the name Sus scrofa (pig). RNAcentral describes it as "lncRNA (ENSSSCG00045003927.1)". The record is from RNAcentral. Lineage: Eukaryota; Metazoa; Chordata; Mammalia; Artiodactyla; Suidae.